UGGGGAAUAUUGCACAAUGGGCGCAAGCCUGAUGCAGCCAUGCCGCGUGUAUGAAGAAGGCCUUCGGGUUGUAAAGUACUUUCAGCGGGGAGGAAGGCGAUAAGGUUAAUAACCUUGUCGAUUGACGUUACCCGCAGAAGAAGCACCGGCUAACUCCGUGCCAGCAGCCGCGGUAAUACGGAGGGUGCAAGCGUUAAUCGGAAUUACUGGGCGUAAAGCGCACGCAGGCGGUCUGUCAAGUCGGAUGUGAAAUCCCCGGGCUCAACCUGGGAACUGCAUUCGAAACUGGCAGGCUAGAGUCUUGUAGAGGGGGGUAGAAUUCCAGGUGUAGCGGUGAAAUGCGUAGAGAUCUGGAGGAAUACCGGUGGCAAAGGCGGCCCCCUGGACAAAGACUGACGCUCAGGUGCGAAAGCGUGGGGAGCAAACA
Molecule: ribosomal RNA, 427 nt
Filed under: uncultured bacterium
Lineage: Bacteria
Description: partial 16S ribosomal RNA
Rfam family: Bacterial small subunit ribosomal RNA
Source: RNAcentral